Molecule: small nuclear RNA, 166 nt
Filed under: Pogona vitticeps (central bearded dragon)
Lineage: Eukaryota; Metazoa; Chordata; Lepidosauria; Squamata; Agamidae
Description: U1 spliceosomal RNA (ENSPVIG00000005424.1)
Rfam family: U1 spliceosomal RNA
About the family: U1 is a small nuclear RNA (snRNA) component of the spliceosome (involved in pre-mRNA splicing). Its 5' end forms complementary base pairs with the 5' splice junction, thus defining the 5' donor site of an intron.
Source: Rfam by way of RNAcentral
ACUCAUACCUUGCAGGGGUAAUGCCAUGUCAUAAAAGUGGUUUUCCUAGGGGGAGGCUCAUCCAUUGCACUUUAGGUAUGCUGCUGAUCCCUGUAAUUUCCCCAAAUGGGGGGAACUCAACUGCAUAAUUUGUGUUAAUGGGAGAUUGCACUUGUGAUUUCUCUGG